Molecule: ribosomal RNA, 253 nt
Filed under: uncultured bacterium
Lineage: Bacteria
Description: partial 16S ribosomal RNA
Rfam family: Bacterial small subunit ribosomal RNA
Source: RNAcentral
UACGUAGGGGGCAAGCGUUAUCCGGAUUUACUGGGUGUAAAGGGAGCGUAGACGGCUGUGCAAGCCAGAUGUGAAAGCCCGGGGCUCAACCCCGGGACUGCAUUUGGAACUGUGUAGCUGGAGUGUCGGAGAGGCAGGCGGAAUUCCUAGUGUAGCGGUGAAAUGCGUAGAUAUUAGGAGGAACACCAGUGGCGAAGGCGGCCUGCUGGACGAUGACUGACGCUGAGGCUCGAAAGCGUGGGGAGCAAACAGG